AAAACACUGUCAUUAUCAAUGUUGGAUUAGGAAAGGAAGGCAGAAGAGAGGUUUAGCAACUCGGCCAAGGUGAUGUGUCUAACAAGGAGCCUGACAACGUUCAAAUCCUGUCCAAGUGUCGAUGACCAAGCUAAUCAGCUCUUGCAAAUACAUAAAGCAACUUUUUUCCCCACAGGCCUUGUGUUGCAAAACCAUUAUCUAUAAUCUGCUGCUUUAGGCUACACCGUGUUCAUUCCACUCGAGGCUGACAGAACUUCCUCUCUGUAGGACGUUGUCAGUCUUGUUGCAGAUGGAAAAGGACUUCGUAACUGUAAGCUGGCUCCUAAAGCACCGGCUCAGAAGUGACACAUGCAGGAUCUUGCUCAGUUACCCAGGCUAGAGUGCAGUGAUGACAUCAUAGCUCAUGGCAACCUUGAACUCCUGGCCUCAAGUGACUUUCCCUCAAGAAGUUGAGACUACAGGAGAGUAUGUAUAGAAAAAAUGGACUUGGUGAUUUUCAGAAUAUCUGGGUGAGUUUUGUUUUCACUUCCAUUUAAAUUUUCCUCUUGAAAAGAGUAGCAGCACUCUAAGAAAUGUAAAGUUUUGUGUCAUUUGUAGGGACAUGGAUGAAUCUGGAGAACAUCAUCCUCAGCAAACUGACACAAGAACAGAAAACGAAACACCGCAUAUUCUCACUCAUAGGUGAGUUCUCCUUCUUAGUUCACAUGAGCUCUGGUCGUUUAAAGGAGUGUGGCAACUCUCCCAUCUCUUGCUCCUGCUCCUACCAUGUUGCAUGCUGGCUCCCUGUUGCCUACCACCAUGAUCGUCAACUUCCUGAAGUCUCUCACCAGAAGCAGAUGCCAGCUCCGUGCUUGCUGUACAGCCAGCAGAACCAUGAACCAAUUAAACCUCUUUUCUUUAUAAAUUACCUAGCAUCGAGUAUUUAUAGCAACACGAGAAUGGACUGACACAAAAGGUUUGAAAAUUCUGCACAAUUAUAGUGUAGUAGACUGAAUAAUGUGCCCCACAGAUGUCAGUAUCCUAACUGCUGUAACUUGUGAAUGUCACAUUACUUGGCAAAGACUUUACUUCUGUGAUUCAGUUAAGAAUUUUGAACUGUGGAUGUUAUCCUUAGCUUCCAAACUGCAUUCUAAAUGUAAUCACAGGUAUCCUUAUAAAUAGGAGACAAAAGGCGAUUUCACACAGAUAAGAAAAAGUCAGUGUGACCAAGGAGACAGAGACUGGAGUGAUGGAAUCACGAACCCAGUAUGCCAGGAGCCACCAGAACACAAAAAAGUAAAUAAGGAUUUUCUUCUAGAUCCUCCAAGGGAGUGUGGCCUUUAGACACCUGCAUGUCAGAUUUUGGACUUCUGGCCUCCCGAGAUGUAAGACAAUAGAUUUACGCCACCAAGUUUGUGCUAAUUGGUUACAGCAGACAUAAGUUAAUGAAUUUUCUAUCUGCUUCUGAAAUCAGUGAAAAUUUAACAUACCUUCAGGUUCAUCUUUGGAGUAUCUGUAAAUAAAAGCUUUGCUUAUCACUCUAGUAUUUGUAGGUUCCUGGUUCUAGCUCACAGUGUAUGAUUGGGUUGACAGAAUUAGCAGAUAAAAAUACAGGCUGUUCAGUUAAACUGCAAUUUUGAAUAAGCGAUGGAUAAUAUUUUACUUAAAAUUUAAACUAAACUAGACAUUCUAUGUUUUUCCGGCAUGUGAUAUAAGUUGGAAAAGAAGCAACUGGUUUUGUAUAUCAGAACUGUUUUUCAGGGCUCAGACCCAUGCUACUGAAUUCACAGCCCAGUAAAAUUCUAACUGACUUUAUAUCUUAGAAAGACAGAGAAAACAAGCUCUGAUGAAAUAAAACUGAGUUUCCCUGCUCUCAUGCAAAAAAAAAAAAAAAAAGGUAAAAAAAGAUAUAAAUAAAAGAGAGGGCAAGUGAGUGGAAGAAAUGUAGGAGGUGCUCUGUCCCCUGGUAGACUCAAGCUGUGGCCUAGGUGUCUGGUUUCCUCACUUGAAUAUGACAGAGAAUAGCUAUCUCUUUAGAGUGAGGGUAACAAAGCCUGAAGGUGGCCUCAUAGAUUUUUUAGGAAAUUCAAAGCAAAUGAGCCUCUCCAUUAUUAUCGGCCUCCAGGAUACUAAUUAAUAAGAAGCAGCCACAUUUCUUGGGCUCAAACCACAAGCAACUUCUGACAGGAAAAAAAUAAAUGAUUGCCUUGGGCCCAAUCUGGUCCAGGGAGGAGAGUAAAUGUCUUCUAGGCAUGUUAGGAUUGUGGCGAAACUUUACUUCACACACGUUAUUGCUCAACACCCAACAAAUCAGAGUUGUUCAUUCAACCCCAUCCGUCAAUGAAGAAAGUGACUUUUUAUUUUAUGGAGCAAGAGGGCAUUGGACCAAAAAUGUCUAACAUUUACUUAUGAAGUUAUCAUGUAAUGUAUAAAUUUAGCACAAACCUGCAAAUAGAUGUGUGAAAAUUCAAGCAUAUUAAUAACUUUUUUUGUGAGGCUCAACCAAAAUAGAACCUACAGAACCUGUUCUACUUUGAAGUUUGGUAAAAUAUUUUAAAAUGCUUGAACUUCAUAUUAAUUUAUGUGAAUUUACAGGUAUAUUCAAUUAAAAAUUGAACUUGUAUAUGUACUGAGUUGGGAAAUAUCUGUAUCUAUUAAACAUUUUUGAAAAAAUAGAGUUUAAUACUGUAUCUGACUCUGAUCAAAGAUAAAUAAUGACGAUAGUCCCCAAGAGAACAGAGAAUUAAAAUAAGAUUUUAAAUAAUACAGAAAGGUUAUAUUUGACUAUGUUUUCUUUCUUGUGGCUGUUUACUUCUCUUGGGCUUUGAUCCUGAAUGUUUAUGCUAAGGGAUUCUUCAAUAUUCCCUUGGGAAAAAGCCUAGUUUUUAUUUUUAUUUUUGAAAGAGAUUUCUUUUUUGUAUAGCUGUGCUCAAAUAAGGCUGGGAAGACAUUUUCUGGACUUGUAUAUUUGGAGCAAAUUCCUUGAUACAUGAGCAGAAAGUCAAUUUUUAUUUUUAUUUUUUAAAUAGGAAAAUAGGCCAGAUGCAGAAAAUAAGCCUGACCUGUAAUCCCAGAACUUUAGGAGGCCCAGGAAGGAGGGCCUGAGCCAAGGAGUUCAAGGUUAUAGUAAGCUAUGAUCGCACCACUGCGCUCCAGUCUCAGCAACAGCGUGAAAUCCUAUGUCUAAAAACAGGAAGAAGAGGGCCGGGUGCGGUGGCUCACGCCUGUAAUCCCAGCACUUUGGGAGGCUGAGGCAGGUUGGGAGGCUGAGGCAGGUGGAUCAUGAGGUCAAGAGAUCAAGACCAUCCUGGUCAACAUGGUGAAACCCCGUCUCUACUAAAAAUGCGAAAAAUUAGCUGGGCAUGGUGGCGCACACCAGUAGUCCCAACUACUCAGGAGGCUGAGGCAGGAGAAUUGCCUGAACCCAGGAGGCGUAGGGUGUGGUGAGCCAAGAUUGCCCCAUUGCACUCCAGCCUGGGUAACAAGAGCAAAACUCCGUCUCAAAAAAAAAAAAAAAAGAAGAAAAAGAUGUUAAAGGAAACUAAAUUACUUCUACACUCAGAAACCAUACUGAAGUUCAAAAACAUAUUUGACAUCUGGACAUGUAAUAGGAUACACUAAAGUAAUUAAAAGAAAAUAAAAGUUUUUAAUAAGCUUAAUUAGAUAAUCAUAAUU
Molecule: long non-coding RNA, 3654 nt
Organism: Callithrix jacchus (white-tufted-ear marmoset)
Lineage: Eukaryota; Metazoa; Chordata; Mammalia; Primates; Cebidae
Source: Ensembl